GAAAUGCGAUAAGUAGUGUGAAUUGCAGAAUUCAGUGAAUCAUCGAAUCUUUGAACGCACAUUGCGCCCCUUGGUAUUCCAUGGGGCAUGCCUGUUCGAGCGUCAUUUGUACCCUAAAGCUCUGCUUGGUGUUGGGUGUUUGUCCCGUCUCCGCGCGUGGACUCGCCCCAAAGUGAUUGGCAGCCGGCGUACUGGUCCCGGAGCGCAGCACAUGUCGCGCAAACGAGUGCCUUGGUACGGCGGCGUCCAUAAGCCCCUCUCUCACGCUCUUGACCUCGGAUCAGGUAGGGAUACCCGCUGAACUUAAGC
This 309-nucleotide unclassified non-coding RNA is filed under the name plant metagenome. Its description in RNAcentral is "partial contains 5.8S ribosomal RNA, internal transcribed spacer 2, and large subunit ribosomal RNA". The stretch from base 1 to 105 matches the Rfam family "5.8S ribosomal RNA", at positions 50 to 154 of the family's 154-position model. The record is from RNAcentral.